Molecule: ribosomal RNA, 1230 nt
Filed under: uncultured bacterium
Lineage: Bacteria
Description: partial 16S ribosomal RNA
Rfam family: Bacterial small subunit ribosomal RNA
Source: RNAcentral
AGUGGCAAACGGGUGAGUAACACGUGAGCAACCUGCCCUGGACUCUGGGAUAAGCGCUGGAAACGGCGUCUAAUACUGGAUAUGAGCCGCGACCGCAUGGUCAGUGGUUGGAAAGAUUUUUCGGUCUGGGAUGGGCUCGCGGCCUAUCAGCUUGUUGGUGAGGUAAUGGCUCACCAAGGCGUCGACGGGUAGCCGGCCUGAGAGGGUGACCGGCCACACUGGGACUGAGACACGGCCCAGACUCCUACGGGAGGCAGCAGUGGGGAAUAUUGCACAAUGGGCGGAAGCCUGAUGCAGCAACGCCGCGUGAGGGAUGACGGCCUUCGGGUUGUAAACCUCUUUUAGCAAGGAAGAAGCGAAAGUGACGGUACUUGCAGAAAAAGCGCCGGCUAACUACGUGCCAGCAGCGCAGGUAAUACGUAGGGCGCUAGCGUUAUCCGGAAUUAUUGGGCGUAAAGAGCUCGUACGCGGUUUGUCGCGUCUGCUGUGAAAACCCGAGCCUCAACCUCGGGCCUGCAGUCGAUACUGGCAGACUAGAGUGCGUAAGGGGAGAAUUGAAUUCCUGGUGUACCGGUGAAAUGCGCAGAUAUCAGGAGGAACACCGAUGGCGAAGGCAGAUCUCUGGACCGCAACUGACGCUGAGGAGCGAAAGGGUGGGGAGCAAACAGGCUUAGAUACCCUGGAAGUCCACGCCGUAAACGAUGAUAACUAGCUGUCCGGGUUCAUAGAACUUGGGUGGCGCAGCUAACGCAUUAAGUUAUCCGCCUGGGGAGUACGGUCGCAAGAUUAAAACUCAAAGGAAUUGACGGGGGUGAGUACAAGCGGUGGAGCAUGUGGUAUAAUUCGAAGCAACGCGCAGAACCUUACCAGCCUUUGACAUCCUAGGGGACGACUUCUGGAGACAGAUCUUCCCUUCGGGGACCUAGUGACAGGUGCUGCAUGGCUGUCGUCAGCUCGUGUCGUGAGAUGUUGGGUUAAGUCCCGCAACGAGCGCAACCCUCGUCCUUAGUUGCCAUCAUUUAGUUGGGCACUUUAAGGAAACUGCCGGUGAUAAGCCGGAGGAAGGUGGGGAUGACGUCAAGUCCUCAUGGCCCUUACAGGCUGGGCUACACACGUGCUACAAUGGCGUUGACAGUGGGCAGCUAGGCCGCGAGGCCACGCUAAUCUCUAAAAGACGGUCUCAGUUCGGAUUGUUCUCUGUAACUCGAGAGCAUGAAGGCGGAAUCGCUA